GCGCCGGUGGUCUAAUGGUCAAGGCAGGUCCCGCUUCUCCACCAAUUCAACAAAUUGAACCGGUGAGGGAUCAGGGACUAGAUCCGGGUUCGAAUCCCGGCGGGCGCA
This is a non-coding RNA of Xylariaceae sp. FL1272, 108 nucleotides long. NCBI's taxonomy places the organism in Eukaryota, Fungi, Ascomycota, Sordariomycetes, Xylariales, Xylariaceae. The record is from the annotation of a GenBank genome assembly.